AACGAACGCUGGCGGCAGGCCUAACACAUGCAAGUCGAGCGAGACCUUCGGGUCUAGCGGCGGACGGGUGAGUAACGCGUGGGAACGUGCCCUUUUCUACGGAAUAGCCUCGGGAAACUGAGCGUAAUACCGUAUACGCCCUUUGGGGGAAAGAUUUAUCGGAGAAGGAUCGGCCCGCGUUGGAUUAGGUAGUUGGUGGGGUAAUGGCCUACCAAGCCUACGAUCCAUAGCUGGUUUGGGAGGAUGAUCAGCCACACUGGGACUGAGACACGGCCCAGACUCCUGGGGGGGGGGGCAGUGGGGAAUUUUAAACAAUGGGGGGGCCCCGAAUUUCGCCUGGCCGGGAAGUUGUUUAAGGCGUUAGGAUUUGAAGGCUUUUUAGACCGGGAGGUUAAUAAGGGACCCAGCAAAAAAGCCCCGGCCAACCUCGGG
RNAcentral lists this ribosomal RNA (432 nucleotides) under uncultured bacterium. RNAcentral's name for it is "partial 16S ribosomal RNA". It matches the Rfam family "Bacterial small subunit ribosomal RNA", at positions 29 to 507 of the family's 1533-position model. The record is from RNAcentral.